GUAUUUCACUAGGGGAGUCUAACGACUGAGAUGGAACUUUACGUUUCCGGACCCUUGGAACCUGAUCUGGAUUAUACCAGCGGAGGGAAGUGGAACGAAAUCUUC
RNAcentral lists this non-coding RNA (105 nucleotides) under Paenibacillus antarcticus. RNAcentral's name for it is "TPP sequence". It matches the Rfam family "TPP riboswitch aptamer (THI element)". Rfam says of the family: Vitamin B(1) in its active form thiamin pyrophosphate (TPP) is an essential coenzyme that is synthesised by coupling of pyrimidine and thiazole moieties in bacteria. The previously detected thiamin-regulatory element, thi box was extended, resulting in a new, highly conserved RNA secondary structure, the THI element, which is widely distributed in eubacteria and also occurs in some archaea. Analysis of operon structures identified a large number of new candidate thiamin-regulated genes, mostly transporters, in various prokaryotic organisms. The record is from Rfam by way of RNAcentral. Lineage: Bacteria; Bacillati; Bacillota; Bacilli; Caryophanales; Paenibacillaceae.